GCGGUCGUGGCGGAACUGGCAGACGCACCAGCUUGAGGGGCUGGCGGUAGCAAUACCGUGGUGGUUCGAAUCCACUCGACCGCACCA
This 87-nucleotide transfer RNA is filed under the name Pseudomonadota bacterium. Its description in RNAcentral is "tRNA-Leu". It matches the Rfam family "tRNA". Rfam says of the family: Transfer RNA (tRNA) molecules are approximately 80 nucleotides in length. Their secondary structure includes four short double-helical elements and three loops (D, anti-codon, and T loops). Lineage: Bacteria; Pseudomonadati; Pseudomonadota. RNAcentral also lists the same sequence under 22 other names. The record is from RNAcentral.